Non-coding RNA from Nicotiana sylvestris (wood tobacco), 107 nucleotides. The record is from Rfam. Lineage: Eukaryota; Viridiplantae; Streptophyta; Magnoliopsida; Solanales; Solanaceae.
AUGUGAUGAUGUGGACAUUUUCUUAACAUUGUUUUCAAUCUUUGCCAAGCUUGAUAAACUGACUCAGUGUCAGUCUAUAAGAAGUUGGAUAUAUCAUGUCUUAACUU